This is a long non-coding RNA of Salvelinus sp. IW2-2015, 1780 nucleotides long. RefSeq lists it as uncharacterized. Lineage: Eukaryota; Metazoa; Chordata; Actinopteri; Salmoniformes; Salmonidae. The record is from RefSeq and is a predicted model, not a curated record.
AUGCUCUUGUGGCUGAAUGGUAGCAAGUUCACGCAGCAAUGUUUCAACAUCAAGUGUCAAGCCUUACUUUAAUUUUCCUAAAAGCAUGAAAUGCAUCUACUGCCAUUCAUUGAAGACUGGUUUGGAUUUCUCGCUGACCACAAGCUGCCAUUUUCAUAACAUUCUGGAACCUUGAGGGUUUAUGACAUAGUUAGCUCCUCUAGUAAUGUAAUAAGAUCUCUAUGAUCGUAGCCAACUAAACUCAACUACACGAUGAGUUAAGCGGCGACUAGUGUGGGCGAACUAGAGCUCCGACGUCACAUACAUUUUUGACAUUUUAUAUAAACGACUUAUUUCAGCACCCAAAGAAUAGCGCACAAUUACACAUAACCGUGUCGUGGUAAACGUUAGUUCCAGACUAUUCUUUGGGGGCUGAAAUCCAGUCGGCCUAUUAUAUGCUACUCAACUUCAUCGUAAAUAGUAUAGUUGGGUUUAAUCGGCUAUAUAAUCGUGGAGUUGAGAAUUCUCAGCUAGCUAGUUUGCGUUAUUUCGCUGUAGUAGCCAGUAUUAUGCUAACUUGCUAGCUAGCCGUUUAUGACUGAAAUACUAACUCGUCUCGAGUCUCUACCACUCUAGCUACUGUGAAGCUAUGAAUAACUGGCAAAGCACAAACAUAACGUUAGCCUGGCAGCAUGCUGUGCAGCUAUCUAGCUAGCUACCUCCCUGGCAGUUAAUGUAUAGCUAGCUAAAGUUACCAUAAAUUAACCAGAGUAACAACAAUAGAUAAUGCCAGCUAGCUAAACGUUCUUGGAGUGAAACGUCAGCAAGCGAUCUCGUAAUAAAUUACAGUGGCUAACUAUAUGUAAAACGUACUUAUUUUCCCCUUCAAACAACAGAAAUGACUCAAAUGCAGGUGGUGCGUUCAUAUUUGAUAACUACCUAGCGAUAGACAAGGGUGCAAAAACUAAGAAACAGCGAACACACACCGCAGAGUACUUGAAUGAGCGAGAAGAUCCUGACUGCAGCGUGCAGGCUCAAUGUUGGCGGAGUCAAACGGGUUUAAGCCGUCCGGUCUCUUUCAUGGUCACCCAAGUUGAGGUAAACGUCAAAGAUGUCAACGAAAUCGAAUCUUAAUUGAACCAACCCUACAAGAAUAAAACUAUAAACCAUGGAAAAACAUUAUCUGUUCUGGUCCCCUGGACAUUGGAGGACUUUUGAAGUGGAUGAUGUUCAGGGCUUACCAAAGGUUUCUCAAACAACUGUGAGGUGUUUGUUUUGAUGUACGCUCUGUACAUUGCAAUGGAAGCACAGUGGGAUUUCACUUAGGAUGAUGUAGAAGACACCCCCCCCACCACCACAAGAAGUCACAUCAUUCAGCUCUGCAGGACCAGACUAUACUGAAAACAAAAUGCACGGCAAACUGGGAGCUGUGAACUGGGAAGCAGAUGUUCUUCUAAGGGACACCCUAGAGGGAGCAAGGUGGUGCAAACUCCAAACAUUUUAAAGGCACUGUUUCCUUCCCCAGUGUAGUUGGGAUGGACGGGGAAGACCGCAUUACAACMCUUAAAGAACUACGGUUGUAUGAUGGCCUGGAUAAAGAGGACAAUAUUCUCCUCAAGGAACCAUUCAUGUUACAGAGAGAUUAGGAGACGUGGAGGCAGUUGACGACAAGAAAAUAACUGUCUUUGCCUCUUUUGAGGAGCAGGAGUGAAGCCCUUUUUGAGUGGUCAAACCUUGUUUUUGUCAGCUUUGUCAAUUGUUAAAUGUGUUAUGUUGUUUAGUAAAGAUGAUGUAGUAGUCA